GUAAAGACAUAAAAAAGGCUAAAAAAAUUUCCUUCUUUAAUCGGAUGUCAUUGACAGGUCAGAAACUGAUGCAGAGUGCUAAUGAUCCACUCCCAGAGAUAAAGCCAAUAGGAGACCAAAUAGCCUUACAAAGUGAUAAGAAAGAUGCCAACCAGAACCACAUGGGUCAGAAUCUUCAGGAUACUGCAACACCAAAUAUGGAGGGAAAGUCCAAAUCCUGUACAAUUCUAUAAAUGUAUGUUUAUGUUUCCAUGGUCACCGAGCACAUUUAUUCUUCAUACUUGAAAAAUGUUGUGACUUCUGAAGGAAAUUCCCCCAUAACACUGUUUAAAAAGAUAUUAAUUAGUAAGUUUGGCUUGGUUUGGACAAUAUGAACAGAUUUAAUAUUUAUUUAUGUUAAUAUUCUUAUCAAGCAGUUUCCAAAGUACAUGUACCUCCAACUCUCCUUGAAGUGUUCUGGCCUUAACUGCUCAGUGUUGCAUAAAGCAAUAUAUUUUUAUAUUUGGAAACCAAAUGAAGCUAUUUCAUAGUUUUGCCAACAUAGUUAUUGUACUUUGUAAUUUCCUAAGACAAUGUUCAUACUAUUACAACACUGGAACAGUUUUGGAUAAAUUUACAACAUUUUAAAACAGGCAACAUUGUAAUGAACUUAUUUUAAUAAAUUAUAUCUGGUUGGUUCUGCUGUAAA
RNAcentral lists this long non-coding RNA (688 nucleotides) under Rattus norvegicus (Norway rat). RNAcentral's name for it is "long non-coding RNA NONRATT030874". The record is from RNAcentral. Lineage: Eukaryota; Metazoa; Chordata; Mammalia; Rodentia; Muridae.